Molecule: ribosomal RNA, 254 nt
Filed under: uncultured bacterium
Lineage: Bacteria
Description: partial 16S ribosomal RNA
Rfam family: Bacterial small subunit ribosomal RNA
Source: RNAcentral
UACGUAGGGGGCAAGCGUUGUCCGGAAUCAUUGGGCGUAAAGAGCGUGUAGGCGCCAGAAAAGUCCGCUGUGAAAACUCGAGGCUCAACUUCGAGCUGUCGGUGGAAACUUUCUGGCUAGAGUCCGGAAGAGGAGAAUGGAAUUCCUGGUGUAGCGGUGAAAUGCGCAGAUAUCAGGAAGAACACCCGUGGCGAAGGCGGUUCUCUGGGACGGUACUGACGCUGGAGACGCGAAAAGCGUGGGGAGCGAACAGG